UUUCUGCCCUUCUGAGGCAGAGGACAGUUUGGUAAUGAGGAGGAGGUGUAAGAAAUAUGUCCCUGGAGGGAGUAAGAGCUACGUGGAAGGCCACCGUGAAAGGCAAUGAUUAGAGUGUGACAUUGAUGUUUCUUGGGCCAUGAAAGAAGAGAAGUGGCUACUCUGCUCAAUUUAAAAAUUUAUCAAAAUAAAUGCAAUCCAGAAGUAGAAAUUAUUUCUCUUCUAAAUAAGAUUUAAAAUGUAUACAUUUGUAAUAGUUCUAUUCCAAAUACAUAAAUAUUAUUUUAAAAUGACUAAACUUGCCCUGUUGCCAUAAUUUUGAUUUCAUAGAAUAAGUAUGUACUUCCUUAUGCUUCAUAUGCAGAACACUUUGAUUUAUCAGCUUUGAUAUAUUAGGAUUUCUGGCACUCUAAUUUGAUGCAUAUUUCCAUUUUAAUGUUAAAUUACUGAAUUAAUUAUUGUAUAUUUCUGUUGCUUUGGGUGCCUGGCAGUCACGAAAUAAUUCUUACACCAUAUUGAUGCAGACUUCUAGUUAAUAACCAUAAAACUAACAUGAUCCUCCCUUCCUUUUGCUUAAAUUGAGAAAGAGCUAUUGGAGAUGCUGAAGCUAAAGUGCAGUUAAUAAUAACCUGGAAACUAUGGAUCAAGACUGUGUAUCUCCAGCCUAGAACUUCUACUCUACAGUCACUUUAAUUCAUCAAUAAUCCUAUGCUUAUUCAUUUU
Sapajus apella (tufted capuchin) is the source of this 723-nucleotide long non-coding RNA. RefSeq lists it as uncharacterized. The transcript has 3 exons. The record is from RefSeq and is a predicted model, not a curated record. NCBI's taxonomy places the organism in Eukaryota, Metazoa, Chordata, Mammalia, Primates, Cebidae.